Molecule: ribosomal RNA, 2583 nt
Filed under: Triticum aestivum (bread wheat)
Lineage: Eukaryota; Viridiplantae; Streptophyta; Magnoliopsida; Poales; Poaceae
Description: partial small subunit ribosomal RNA
Source: RNAcentral
GUCUUUGACUGGUGCUUGAGGAGAGGGAGAGAGGGAGAGCGGGUGCUUGAGGAGCCGUGGUUGUGGUGGGCGCGGCGGCCGAAGGCCGCUCGAGGCUGCGGCGCGUCGUGCGGGGAUUCGGGGGUGUUAGGCGCGGAGGGAGGGGAGGAAGGUCUAAGAGGCAAGGGCCGGAGAUUGCAGGCGAGCGUUGGUUUGGGGGCACCGAUCCCAAAGCCCUACCCGAAGCGGCCGCGCAGAGGCCGCCGGGGUCUACGUCUACCUCGUGCGGUACCCUCAAGGGGUAGGUGGUGCCAGUGGCGGCAGUUCACGAAGAAGUGCCUCUACACUUCCUGCGGUUCCUGGACGUCGAUGAGUUCCAAAAUAGAACAGGGGUAGGAUAGGGGAGGGGAACGGCGGGGAAGAAGUAACCUACUGGUCUACGUGUUGGUGUAUACAAAAAACUAAGUCCGAGUAUCCCAGAUCUAAACUUACAUUUUGAUGGACUGAAAUGGUAAUUGUCUAACCUUCGUGCUAAUAGCGACGUUAAAAAAAUCAGUACCGUAUAAAAGAGAAUAUACACAAACAACUACUAAUUAGUAGUUUCCAAUAUGCGCACAAAGCAGGGUUCGUGUUCAGGAAGAAAGUAUAUAGGGAAAACAGUAUACAGAAGAACUACGUUUCUCCGAGUCGAACGAUGACUACCUAACGUCGAAUGGUUUAAACUAAACCAAACCAUGUUACCUACAAACCAUAACUACAACUUUCUUAUGAAGUGAAAGACAUUAAAGACUACAAGUCUAAUAUGGCUUACUUACGAUGGUCUAAGGUAUAAACAAGAUCUCUAUAAUAACUAGAAAAGUACGUGGUUAACAAGUUCAUCACAGAAAGACGAUUUUCGAAAUAUAACGGUACACACAGGAAAACAGGCAUGGAAAAAGGUCAUUAAAAGAGACAAUUGGAACCCGGUCGAGUAAACACACACGAAGUACAUAUACGAGUACGAAAACUACGACGACCUGAAACCUUACGUAGGCGUGUCAUUGAAAGACCCAUACGAACGUAAGUCCAACAGUAAUCAAUGCUCUACCAUGUAGUCACAGAGGUGAGAUCUCUACUUAUAUUAUGCGGUUUUGUGUCUUUAAUAAGGCAAGUUUCACUUACUGUGCCGCAUUUAGUUUGUACGCGACUCGGAUGAUUACGCUGAUGGUCAUGACAACGUGAUGAUCUUGGGUUACCGUACUACCACGUCGUUUAUACCAAAAAAUAAUCUAUCAAAAGACGUGACAUAUACACUACUUAAGUGUUUAAAUACUAAAACUCCAUGACCACUUCCAUCUAAGUUUACUCACUACGUUUAAGUCUUAACGUAUCCAUCACGGAUGAUGACUGAUUCCCAUGUACUCAACCUUCUUUCAGGUUCGUCUUCCUUGAGGACGUCUACGGGUCCGACGAUGACACGGAUAGAAUUCCCUCUGCUCUGCGACAACUCGACAAAAAGCCAUCUAAACUCGAUGGAUCUCAACUCGAUCCGUGGUCUGCUCGUCUUCGUGUUUGCAUCCUCCAUAGGUUGUUGCCGUUGGCGUUGCGGUAAGGUGAAUUUGGACCUCUGGUCUCUUUCCUACGCUCAAGAUCCUUUUAAAUGUAACUUUAAACAGUGUACGUUUGACCUCCUUCCCCGUUAUUCGUCUCUUAAGGGGAGUUCUACACUUGACGUAACUACGGGAGCCAUACACACAACGAUGACGACUUACUACGAGGGAACAGCAACAACGAUAUCAUGCUAAAUCAUGUCGAACAGACUUACCCAAUCUUCUCCCCAAUACUCUACAAAACAACCUCAAAUUUAUAAGAAAGUACAUAAUUUGACUAUUCAACACGUGAAAACGACGACAAUCUAUUUGACUGAUGAGACAUGACAACCUAUCGGUACCAUACACAAUCAAAAUAAAAUGGUGUUUUCAAAGAACCCUCAACCCUAUAGUCCACAUAAGUAAUGAAAAGGAUACUUAUAUAAGAUAAAACCACGUGACAUAUUGAUAGAUUAGAUAGAUAGGUUCAAAAGUUUCUUUAACUACCGCCGCCGAGCCGGCACAGCACCACUUACCGCUUCGAAGCUUUGACUUGUACUCUUUCCACAACUGCGCGCCGACCUUCUGCAUGUAUGAACUCCUUUAUACUAAGUAUUCCAAAGUAUAAUUCUUUUGACUAUUAGACUUGUAAAACAAAUAAGGACCUACUGAAAUAAGAGGUUAUACUUAUACAUUCUUUUCUAUACUGUAUGUAAACACAUUUAACUAUUACAUCCCAGUAGAGCUUUGAAAUAAUAAAAAAGUUCUAACUAAAUGAACCACCACAAUUGAAGGUAAAAGAGCUUUGUCCUGUACACAAGAUAAAGAUUUUUUUCUUCGAAGAGACAAUCGAUCGUAGGGGCUGCCAUGAAAAUCUGACCUACAUCUGAUCAUCCCAGUUAAUUUUUAACAACCGAUAUCUACUGAAAUUCAAAGAUCGAAAGUAUUUUACAUCUGCACAUGCAUGAGAUUGUCAUACAGCACCAACUACUACCAGGAUACAUGACCAACUUUAAUAGUACAACCUAUUAUAACG